RNAcentral lists this ribosomal RNA (305 nucleotides) under uncultured bacterium. RNAcentral's name for it is "bacterial SSU rRNA". It matches the Rfam family "Bacterial small subunit ribosomal RNA", at positions 337 to 634 of the family's 1533-position model. The record is from RNAcentral.
ACCUACGGGGCGCAGCAGUAGGGAAUCUUCCACAAUGGGCGAAAGCCUGAUGGAGCAACGCCGCGUGGGUGAAGAAGGUCUUCGGAUCGUAAAACCCUGUUGUUAGAGAAGAAAGUGCGUGAGAGUAACUGUUCACGUUUCGACGGUAUCUAACCAGAAAGCCACGGCUAACUACGUGCCAGCAGCCGCGGUAAUACGUAGGUGGCAAGCGUUAUCCGGAUUUAUUGGGCGUAAAGGGAACGCAGGCGGUCUUUUAAGUCCGAUGUGUAAGCCUUCGGCUUAACCGGAGUAGUGCAUUGGAAACU